AAGUCGUAACAAGGUUUCCGUAGGUGAACCUGCGGAAGGAUCAUUAGAAAUCACCGGCUUAGCCGGUAUAAAAUUCUAUCCACCCUUGUGUGCAAACAAUGGAAGAAAAGAGAGCCAUUUGGAUACUUUUGUAUCCAAUCUCUCUAAAAAUUUUUAUAAACUCCAUCAAAUUUUGAAUAAAACUAAUUUUUUUUUUAAAUAAAAAUAUUAUACAACUUUCAACAACGGAUCUCUUGGCUCUC
This 242-nucleotide unclassified non-coding RNA is filed under the name fungal sp. RNAcentral describes it as "partial internal transcribed spacer region". The stretch from base 1 to 46 matches the Rfam family "Eukaryotic small subunit ribosomal RNA", at positions 1786 to 1831 of the family's 1831-position model. The record is from RNAcentral. Lineage: Eukaryota; Fungi.